Molecule: RNA transcript, 1298 nt
Organism: Rattus rattus (black rat)
Lineage: Eukaryota; Metazoa; Chordata; Mammalia; Rodentia; Muridae
Gene name: rho GTPase-activating protein 20-like
Exons: 7
Source: RefSeq, a predicted model, not a curated record
GCCAAGAUUCUGGAGCCAUGGCAGUUUGGGAAUCUUUUAGGGAAGUAUGCUCUCAACCAAUGAUUCUCAGCCUCCCUAAUCCUGUAACACUAAUAUAUUUUCUCAUGGCUUUGUGACUCUUAACCAUUACUUCAUUUUGCUUCUCUUCAUAAUUCAAAUUUUGCUCCUGAUGUGAUUAUAAAGAAAAAUGGAUAGAAUAUCUGAUAUGGAAAAUAUAUGUGACCCCGUAAUGAUUAUGACCCACAAGUUGAGAAUCACUGGUCUAAACUGCUAAUUUUAAACAAAAAUGUUUUUCAAGUACUUUCUACAAUGUACAUUGACCAUUACUUUUUUUGUUUUAUUUUCAAUAAAAAAUGAUUUUAUUAUUAACAUUGAUGGAAGCUUACUAACCUUGGAUUUUUAUGAAAAUUGGCUUAGCAUCCCAGAUGAAGGAACUCUGGCUGGAAAAAUUAAUGCCAUUCAAAGCCUUUUGCAACAGAUCCCAGAACCAAACUUUAUACUAUUAAAACAUCUCAUAUGUGUAUUAGUAAUAAUAAAAGAUUCUUCCAUGAAUAAUUUAGACAGUUACAGGUUAUCUCUGCGCAUAGCUCCACAUGUACUGUGGGGUCAGACUUCGAGAGAUUCAUUAUUUGGGAGUGACGUCUUAAGAAAGGAAACCCUAGGAUUGCAUUCUUAUGGAGUGCAGUAGAAUAUGUAUUGAUCUAUUUCAGGAAGAUUUGGAAAGGGAGAUUUUUAAUGUAGUUUAAAAUGUCUCUUAUACAAAUUAUGAUUGACAACUAUGAUCAAAUAUUUGGAAAUGAUGAUAUAUUUAGUAAACACAUUGACAAAAGGUCUGAAGACUUAAAGACAUACAAAGAAUCAAUAAAUUAUUCUGGAAAAUCUCCUAUUAUGACAAAAGCCAUAGCUGGCCACAACUGGAAAACCAAUGAUAUUGAUGAAAAACUUAAUAUUUCAUAUGCUGCACUGCAGGAAGAAGGUCCUACAGAGAAACAGAAAGGCUAUAUAUAUAUACCAAGCCACCAGUUUAUUCUGAUCCAACACCACCAAGAAAGAAAUGCUUAUUUGGCAAAAAUCUUGCAAGCAUUUAUGUCGACAGAAAGCUGCCUGCUCCAAAACUUGAUAUGUUAUCCAUAAUUGCAGGGAAAGGACGAGAAUCAGAUCACAUAUUCGAAAUUCUACCUGAAAAUUCACACUGGUGCCUCAGAGAGAGAAUUGACAGUGAACAACUCAUUGAAUGGAUUAAAGAAUGCAUGCUUGUAAUAGCAUCUGUCUUGAAGGACUUCAUUGCAAACAUUGAA